GAUGAACGCUGGCGGCGUGCUUAACACAUGCAAGUCGAGCGAAGCGGCUGAAUUGAUUCUUCGGAUGAUUUUCAGUUGACUGAGCGGCGGACGGGUGAGUAACGCGUGGGUGACCUGCCCCAUACCGGGGGAUAACAGCUGGAAACGGCUGCUAAUACCGCAUAAGCGCACAGAGCUGCAUGGCUCGGUGUGAAAAACUCCGGUGGUAUGGGAUGGGCCCGCGUCUGAUUAGGCAGUUGGCGGGGUAACGGCCCACCAAACCGACGAUCAGUAGCCGGCCUGAGAGGGCGACCGGCCACAUUGGGACUGAGACACGGCCCAAACUCCUACGGGAGGCAGCAGUGGGGAAUAUUGCACAAUGGGGGAAACCCUGAUGCAGCGACGCCGCGUGAGCGAAGAAGUAUUUCGGUAUGUAAAGCUCUAUCAGCAGGGAAGAUAAUGACGGUAC
Molecule: ribosomal RNA, 448 nt
Filed under: uncultured bacterium
Lineage: Bacteria
Description: bacterial SSU rRNA
Rfam family: Bacterial small subunit ribosomal RNA
Source: RNAcentral